RNAcentral lists this long non-coding RNA (853 nucleotides) under Mus musculus (house mouse). RNAcentral describes it as "long non-coding RNA chr7:103165897-103166750". Lineage: Eukaryota; Metazoa; Chordata; Mammalia; Rodentia; Muridae. The record is from RNAcentral.
ACACUAUUCUAUUUCACUUCUAACUUCCUAGAAAUCCCUGGAUUAGAAAAUAUGCACUGUUGGAUUGGUUUUCCUUUCUUUGCUGUGUUGCUGACAGCUGUACUUGGGAAUAUAACCAUUGUUUGUGUAAUUCAGACAGAGUACAGUCUUCCUCAGCCCAUGUUCUACUUCCUGGCCAUUCUGUCAUCUACUGACCUGUCAUCACAUCUACAAUCACCACAAUUCCUGGAAUAGUCUUGUUCAAGAUAAAAGGACAUCAUCCAAAUGUUCUGUAUCUACGUGUUUUCUGGCAUGGAGUCAGCUGUGCUUGUAGCCAUGGCCUAUGAUCACUUCAUGGCUAACUGUUGCCCUCUUCAUUAUACAUUGGUACUGACAAACAAGGUAAUAUUUAUCAUUUCUUGGGUGAUCCUUUUGAGAUCAUUGUUUUUUUUGCCAUGCCCUUUGUCUUGCUCACCUUAUGGUUACCAUUUUAUAAGCACCAAAUCACCCUUCACCUUCAUCAAUGUCAUCAGCAUCUAUGGCUUAUGUGCUACCCCUAUUCUGAUAUGUGACAUUGUAGCCAUUAUCAUUUCCUAUGUUCAGAUCUUCAGUGCUGCAUUUCAACUAUCUUCUCAGGAUGCUCAGCUAAGGCACUUGGCACCUGUGGAUCUCAUGCAUUUGUCAUUUGACAUUCUACACUCUUGUUUUCUUUUCAUUUAUGACACAUAGGUUUGGCCAUAAUAUACCACACUGCAUCCAUAUUCUUGUGGCCAGUGUCUAUGUAGUCAUUCUACCUGUUCUCAACCCUUUAAUUUAUAGCAUCAGAACUAAAUGGAUUAUAGAACAGGUACUGAAAAUGUUUUGUAAGAAAUAA